GACGAACGCUGGCGGCGUGCCUAAUACAUGCCAGUUGAGCGCUGAAGGUUGGUACUUGUACCAACUGGAUGAGCAGCGAACGGGUGAGUAACGCGUGGGGAAUCUGCCUUUGAGCGGGGGACAACAUUUGGAAACGAAUGCUAAUACCGCAUAAAAACUUUAAACACAAGUUUUAAGUUUGAAAGAUGCAAUUGCAUCACUCAAAGAUGAUCCCGCGUUGUAUUAGCUAGUUGGUGAGGUAAAGGCUCACCAAGGCGAUGAUACAUAGCCGACCUGAGAGGGUGAUCGGCCACAUUGGGACUGAGACACGGCCCAAACUCCUACGGGAGGCAGCAGUAGGGAAUCGUCGGCAAUGGACGAAAGUCUGACCGAGCAACGCCGCGUGAGUGAAGAAGGUUUUCGGAUCGUAAAACUCUGUUGGUAGAGAAGAACGUUGGUGAGAGUGGAAAGCUCAUCAAGUGACGGUAACUACCCAGAAAGGGACGGCUAACUACGUG
This 497-nucleotide ribosomal RNA is filed under the name uncultured bacterium. Its description in RNAcentral is "partial 16S ribosomal RNA". It matches the Rfam family "Bacterial small subunit ribosomal RNA", at positions 28 to 507 of the family's 1533-position model. The record is from RNAcentral.